GGCUCGGGAUUAACGCUGGCGGCGUGCCUAACACAUGCAAGUCGAGCGGGAAAUUGAGAGUGAGGCUUCGGCGGAUACUCUCAAAUGGAGAGCGGCGGACGGGUGAGUAACGCGUAGGUAACCUGCCCUGCACAGAGGGAUAGCCACUGGAAACGGUGAUUAAUACCUCAUAAAACUGUUAUGCCGCAUGGCAAAACAGCCAAAGAUUUAUCGGUGCGGGAUGGAUCUGCGUCUGAUUAGCUAGUUGGUGAGGUAACGGCUCACCAAGGCGACGAUCAGUAGCCGACCUGAGUAGGGUGAUCGGCCACAUUGGAACUGAGACACGGUCCAAACUCCUACGGGAGGCAGCAGUGGGGAAUAUUGCACAAUGGGCGCAAGCCUGAUGCAAGCAACGCCGCGUGAAUGAUGAAGGCUUUUGGGUCGUAAAAUUCUGUUCUCAGGGAAGAAAAAAUGACUGUACCUGAGAGAAAGCCCCGGCUAACUACGUGCCAGCAGCUGC
This 499-nucleotide ribosomal RNA is filed under the name uncultured bacterium. RNAcentral describes it as "bacterial SSU rRNA". It matches the Rfam family "Bacterial small subunit ribosomal RNA", at positions 21 to 518 of the family's 1533-position model. The record is from RNAcentral.